GAAAAGUGGAUGUGUUUUUUUUCAGAGAACUGCUCAGUGUUUCAAAAUGCUUGUUUAGAGUGAUUAAUGUCAUUUAUUCACUAAAAAUCUCAGUUAGCAUUUUCAUUUUGUUUUCUGUGUUUUGUUAAGUCUUCAGAAACUAUCUCACUCAGAGAUACCAAUCUGAGUGAGCAGAUCAGUAUCCUGACCACUGGGAAAUAGGAUCUAUGCAGAGACAGGAAGGCUGGAGCUCACCUGCCAGCCACACCUGGAAGAAGGUAGCUCCAGCUGCACUCCUGGUGAAAAGCAAAUGAAAGAGAAUUAAGUGCAGAGCCAUUGGCAACAUGCGCCACGCAGCAGGACCAGGGCCCAGGAAACGGUGCUGGCAGAGGCGACAGGGACCUGCAAACAGAGCAGAUGCUGCUGCAAGAGCCUUGGUACCUCGUGAUGGGUUCAGUCUGCUUCCCAGCACUAUGGUGCCGCCGGCACAGGGCUGACCCAGGCCGUGCGCUGUCCCCGUCCCUGCUUUCACAGCUUAGCCACAUCCAGCAUCCAGGCUGAGAUGAGCUUUUUUCUCUAAAGCACUGCUGUGUUCUAUCAUCCGCUGCUCCCCGCAGCGCCGGGCAGCUCACGCCAUCUCUCUGCUACGCUCACUGCAGCUGCAGAACGGGAUAAUAACGCCAGUGCCAGGCAUAAGGAUUAAUAUUUUAAAGUGGUUUGAGGUUAAAACAUGCUGCGUGGAUCUGAUCUGUGCUACUGAAGGUCAGUAGAAGCUUUAGGAUGAGGAUGGAGUAAUAAUACUGUUAAAAUUAAUAAUGAUUUAUUCUUCCCAAAUCCAAUUAUUUUGCAGAAGAACAGCGAGUAGUUUCAGCAUAACGGCCCUGUAAGUCAGUCACAGAACAUGCAAACCCUGCACAACUCAACCCUUGCACUGGUCCGAAUGCUUUCUCUCUUCAUCAUUUAAAUUUCUGCUUGCAAAAUAAUUUAUAGUAAGCUCUGCAACGCAUAAAUAUUAAAAUA
Molecule: long non-coding RNA, 999 nt
Organism: Rhea pennata
Lineage: Eukaryota; Metazoa; Chordata; Aves; Rheiformes; Rheidae
Exons: 3
Source: RefSeq, a predicted model, not a curated record